GGGCGACCUGCCCACUUGUGGGGUAUAGCCGGCCCAACGGCCGGGUAAUCCCGCAUACGCUUCUCUGGCUGCAUGGCUGGAGGAGGAAAGCCGUAAGGCGCAAGUGGAGGGGCUCGCGGCCUAUCAGCUAGUUGGCGGGGUAACGGCCCACCAAGGCUACGACGGGUAGCUGGUCUGAGAGGAUGGCCAGCCACAUUGGGACUGAGAUACGGCCCAGACUCCUACGGGAGGCAGCAGUGGGGAAUCUUGCGCAAUGGUCGAAAGACUGACGCAGCGACGCCGCGUGCGGGAGGAAGCCCUUCGGGGUGUAAACCGCUGUUACUCGGGACGAACCUCCUGUUUCGACAGGAUUGACGGUACCGGGGGAGGAAGCACCGGCUAACUCUGUGCCAGCAGCCGCGGUAAUACAGAGGGUGCGAGCGUUGUCCGGAAUCACUGGGCGUAAAGGGCGCGUA
This 455-nucleotide ribosomal RNA is filed under the name uncultured Gemmatimonas sp. Its description in RNAcentral is "bacterial SSU rRNA". It matches the Rfam family "Bacterial small subunit ribosomal RNA", at positions 119 to 573 of the family's 1533-position model. Lineage: Bacteria; Pseudomonadati; Gemmatimonadota; Gemmatimonadia; Gemmatimonadales; Gemmatimonadaceae. The record is from RNAcentral.